AGAGUUUGAUCAUGGCUCAGGAUGAACGCUGGCGGUAUGCCUUACACAUGCAAGUCGUACGAGAGUUUUUAACUCUAGUGGCGGACGGGUGAGUAACACGUAAGAAUUUGCCUUUAGGAGGGGGAUAACAACUGGAAACGGUUGCUAAUACCCCAUAUGCUUUCGAGUGAAAUGGAUUUCCGCCUAAAGAGAAGCUUGCGGCUGAUUAGCUUGUUGGUGAGGUAAUGGCUCACCAAGGCGACGAUCAGUAUCUGGUUUGAGAGGACGAUCAGACACACUGGAACUGAGACACGGUCCAGACUCCUACGGGAGGCAGCAGUGGGGAAUUUUCCGCAAUGGGCGAAAGCCUGACGGAGCAAUACCGCGUGAGGGAUGACGGCCUAUGGGUUGUAAACCUCUUUUUUCAGGGAGGAAUCAAUGACGUGUACCUGAAGAAUAAGCAUCGGCUAACUCCGUGCCAGCAGCCGCGGUAAGACGGAGGAUGCAAGUGUUAUCCGGAAUCACUGGGCGUAAAGCGUCUGUAGGUGGUUUAAUAAGUCAACUGUUAAAUCUUGAGGCUCAACCUCAAAAUCGCAGUCGAAACUAUUAGACUAGAGUAUAGUAGGGGUAAAGGGAAUUUCCAGUGGAGCGGUGAAAUGCGUAGAUAUUGGAAGGAACACCGAUGGCGAAGGC
This 672-nucleotide ribosomal RNA is filed under the name uncultured bacterium. Its description in RNAcentral is "bacterial SSU rRNA". It matches the Rfam family "Bacterial small subunit ribosomal RNA", at positions 8 to 722 of the family's 1533-position model. The record is from RNAcentral.